AUAAAACAUUCAUAUUUCAUUCAACAUAUUUCAGGAGGUAGCUGCAAGAACAAAACAGAUUAGAGCAAACAGUUAAAAAGUGAGUAACUUUUUCUUUUCACAGGUCACAUUGCAAGAACAGGUAAGUAUUUUCUUUUCACAGAUCACAUUGCAGGAACAGGUAAGUAUUUUCUUUUCCUUUAAAAUUUUUUUUUUUACAUUACAGGAACAGGUAACAGGCCUUUCAUACGGACGCGUUGGAAUGCGUUGAUCCGUCAGGGUUGACGGAUCUCCAUUCACUUUGAAUGGGGUGACGUCAUCCUUUGCCGAACUGAAUUGUGGCUCCGUUGGGUUCCCGUGCGUUGCGUUUCAUGCUUUGCUUGCAGCAAGAGUUGAAGAAUGUUCAACUUUUCGUGAGGCAAUGCAUGCGUCAGCCAAUUAAAUUGCCUUUCAUGCAUAACUGACAGCACAGGCGUUAGCCAAUCAGAUCCCGUAUAUGCUCACGUCCAAAAAGCGGCAAGCUCCAAAAAAAAAAA
This is a long non-coding RNA of Clupea harengus (Atlantic herring), 515 nucleotides long. Lineage: Eukaryota; Metazoa; Chordata; Actinopteri; Clupeiformes; Clupeidae. The record is from Ensembl.